Molecule: ribosomal RNA, 350 nt
Filed under: uncultured bacterium
Lineage: Bacteria
Description: bacterial SSU rRNA
Rfam family: Bacterial small subunit ribosomal RNA
Source: RNAcentral
UGAGGAAUUUUGCGCAAUGGGGGAAACCCUGACGCAGCAACGCCGCGUGAGUGAAGAAGGCCUUUGGGUCGUAAAGCUCUGUCAACUGGGAAGAAGUUACUUGUAUCCAAUAGGUAUAGGUAUUGACGGUACCAGUGGAGGAAGCGCCGGCUAACUCCGUGCCAGCAGCCGCGGUAACACGGGGGGCGCAAGCGUUAUUCGGAAUUAUUGGGCGUAAAGGGCGCGUAGGCGGUCUUGUCGGUCAGAUGUGAAAGCCCAGGGCUCAACCCUGGACGUGCAUUUGAAACAGCAAGACUUGAAUACUGGAGAGGAAAGCGGAAUUCCUGGUGUAGAGGUGAAAUUCGUAGAUA